This 895-nucleotide ribosomal RNA is filed under the name uncultured bacterium. RNAcentral describes it as "bacterial SSU rRNA". It matches the Rfam family "Bacterial small subunit ribosomal RNA", at positions 191 to 1067 of the family's 1533-position model. The record is from RNAcentral.
AUGUUGCUGGUGAAACCUGGGGACCGCAAGGCCUGGGGCAAAAAGAGGAUCCUGCGUCUGAUUAGCUAGUUGGCGGGGUAAUGGCCCACCAAGGCGACGAUCAGUAGCCGGCCUGAGAGGGUGAUCGGCCACACUGGAACUGAGACACGGUCCAGACUCCUACGGGAGGCAGCAGUGGGGAAUUUUGCGCAAUGGACGAAAGUCUGACGCAGCAACGCCGCGUGGGCGAUGAAGGUCUUCGGACUGUAAAACCCUGUCGUCAGGGACGAAGGUAUGGGGGUUAAUAACCCUUAUGCUUGACGGUACCUGGAGAGGAAGCCCCGGCUAACUCUGUGCCAGCAGCCGCGGUAAUACAGAGGGGGCAAGCGUUAUUCGGAAUUAUUGGGCGUAAAGGGCGCGUAGGCGGUUUUUUAAGUCAGAUGUGUAAUCCCCGAGCUCAACUUGGGAACUGCAUCUGAGACUGGAAGGCUAGAGUACUGGAGAGGGUGGUGGAAUUCCUCGUGUAGCGGUGAAAUGCGUAGAGAUGAGGAGGAACACCAGUGGCGAAGGCGGCCACCUGGACAGUAACUGACGCUGAGGCGCGAAAGUGUGGGUAGCAAACAGGAUUAGAUACCCUGGUAGUCCACGCUGUAAACGAUGAACACUUGGUGUGGAGGGAGUUGACCCCUUCCGUGCCGGAGCUAACGCGUUAAGUGUUCCGCCUGGGGAGUACGGUCGCAAGGCUGAAACUCAAAGGAAUUGACGGGGGCCCGCACAAGCGGUGGAGCAUGUGGUUUAAUUCGACGCAACGCGAAGAACCUUACCUGGGCUUGAACUGCAGUGGACCGGUGUAGAGAUAUGCCUUUUCGCAAGAACUGCUGCAGAGGUGCUGCAUGGCUGUCGUCAGCUCGUGUCG